UACGGGGGGUGCAAGCGUUGUUCGGAUUUACUGGGCGUAAAGGGCGCGUAGGCGGUCAGCACAAGUCAGUUGUGAAAUCUCCGGGCUUAACUCGGAAAGGUCAACUGAUACUGUGCGACUAGAGUGCAGAAGGGGCAACUGGAAUUCUCGGUGUAGCGGUGAAAUGCGUAGAUAUCGAGAGGAACACCUGCGGCGAAGGCGGGUUGCUGGGCUGACACUGACGCUGAUGCGCGAAAGCGUGGGGAUCAAACAGG
This 254-nucleotide ribosomal RNA is filed under the name uncultured bacterium. RNAcentral's name for it is "partial 16S ribosomal RNA". It matches the Rfam family "Bacterial small subunit ribosomal RNA", at positions 524 to 776 of the family's 1533-position model. The record is from RNAcentral.